AUUUACGGCCAUGUCACCCUGAACAAGCCCAAUCCCGUCUGAUCUCAGAAGCUAAGCAGGGUCAGGCCUGGUUAGUACCUGGAUAAAUGGAAGACCAGGUGCUGUAGGUG
This 110-nucleotide ribosomal RNA is filed under the name Pteropus alecto (black flying fox). Lineage: Eukaryota; Metazoa; Chordata; Mammalia; Chiroptera; Pteropodidae. The record is from RNAcentral.